AGUGAACGCUGGCGGCAUGCCUAACACAUGCAAGUCGAACGGCAGCACAGUAAGAGUUUGCCCUUACGGUUGGCGAGUGGCGGACGGGUGAGGCAUACAUCAGAAACUUCUUUUUCGUGGGGGAUAACGUAGGGAAACUUAUGCUAAUACCGCAUAUUAUCUACCGGAGAAAUCAGAGGAUAUUGACACUCUUCGUGUUUCAAUUAGCCGGUGUCGGAUUAGCUAGUUGGCUGGGUAAAGGCCCACCAAGGCGACGAUGCGUAGCUGACCUGAGAGGAUGAUCAGCCACACUGGAACUGAGACACGGUCCAGACUCCUACGGGAGGCAGCAGUAGGGAAUAUUGGACAAUGGGCGCAAGCCUGAUGCAGCCAUACCGCGUGAGUGAAGAAGGCCUUCGGGUUGUAAAGCCCUUUUGUUGGGAAAGAAAAGCAGCAGAUUAAUACGCCGCUGUUCUGACGGUACCCAAUGAAUAAGCACCGGCUAACUUCGUG
Molecule: ribosomal RNA, 492 nt
Filed under: uncultured bacterium
Lineage: Bacteria
Description: partial 16S ribosomal RNA
Rfam family: Bacterial small subunit ribosomal RNA
Source: RNAcentral